This 450-nucleotide ribosomal RNA is filed under the name uncultured bacterium. RNAcentral describes it as "partial 16S ribosomal RNA". It matches the Rfam family "Bacterial small subunit ribosomal RNA", at positions 338 to 795 of the family's 1533-position model. The record is from RNAcentral.
CCUACGGGAGGCAGCAGUCGAGAAUCUUCGGCAAUGGGCGCAAGCCUGACCGAGCGACGCCGCGUGCGGGAUGAAGGCCUUCGGGUUGUAAACCGCUGUCAGUGCGGAGGAAAUAUGGAGGGGUUCUCCCCUUUAUUUGCCCUAUGCGCAGAGGAAGGACGGGCUAAGUUCGUGCCAGCAGCCGCGGUAAGACGAACCGUCCAAACGUUAUUCGGAAUCACUGGCCUUAACGGGUGCGUAGGCUGGGUGUGAAAGACCUCGGCCUAACCGAGGAAUUGCGCACAAAACUGCCGGACUCGAGCAAGGCAGAGGUGAACGGAACUUAGGGUGGAGCGGUGAAAUGCGUUGAUAUCCUAAGGAACACCAGUAGCGAAAGCGGUUCACUGGGCCUUUUCUGACGCUGAUGCACGAAAGCCAGGGGAGCGAACGGGAUUAGAUACCCCAGUAGUC